This 440-nucleotide ribosomal RNA is filed under the name uncultured Paracoccaceae bacterium. RNAcentral's name for it is "bacterial SSU rRNA". It matches the Rfam family "Bacterial small subunit ribosomal RNA", at positions 338 to 795 of the family's 1533-position model. Lineage: Bacteria; Pseudomonadati; Pseudomonadota; Alphaproteobacteria; Rhodobacterales; Paracoccaceae. The record is from RNAcentral.
CCUACGGGUGGCUGCAGUGGGGAAUCUUAGACAAUGGGGGAAACCCUGAUCUAGCCAUGCCGCGUGGACGAUGAAGGCCCUAGGGUUGUAAAGUCCUUUCAGCUGGGAAGAUAAUGACGGUACCAGCAGAAGAAGCCCCGGCUAACUCCGUGCCAGCAGCCGCGGUAAUACGGAGGGGGCUAGCGUUGUUCGGAAUUACUGGGCGUAAAGCGCACGUAGGCGGAUCAGCAAGUUAGGGGUGAAAUCCCGGGGCUCAACCCCGGAACUGCCUUUAAAACUGUUGGUCUUGAGUUCGAGAGAGGUGAGUGGAAUUCCGAGUGUAGAGGUGAAAUUCGUAGAUAUUCGGAGGAACACCAGUGGCGAAGGCGGCUCACUGGCUCGAUACUGACGCUGAGGUGCGAAAGCGUGGGGAGCAAACAGGCUUAGAUACCCUAGUAGUC